UUAAUUUUUUCUGCUAUUAUUAAAUUUGUCUUCAUUUUUCCAGACGUUGCUGAAAUUAUUUCGCGAUCUGCGCUGAAGUUCUCUGUUAUCAGAUACCCCGUGCGGGGUUGCCAGUCCCCCAUCGGGCGCCUCCCCAGGUGGCGGAUAGGGGAAUGCUCCGGGGAAAUAGAAUACUCGGGGCGGAUCAAAACUAGCACGGGACACGACAGAACUCCAUGUUAGGAGCGGUACUCCAAUAGCGUACUGACCCAGAUUGGGCGGCUGAUCCCCAAACCUAGGAAAGCAACGGGAAACUACCUAGGUACAACACUGUUCCCCAGGAUACUUGUUAUGGCGGAAAACGAAAAUACCACGGCCGUCAGUCUCGGCACCACUUAAAUUGGGACCCAGACAGCAUUAUUAUCCAUUGGACGUCCAUAGGAACGGACUUCGGGCAGCCGCAUGUCCAGUGGAUGUCCAUAAUUUGUCCGAUUGAUGUCCAAUUGACAUCCAUUUUUCUAUACAAACAUCACAGAAUCCUACCUCCUCCGGAUGUUCAAAAUUCGUGAUCCUAUGGAUAACUUCUGGAGGUCCUGAUGACAUGACAUGAUAUUGUAGCGGAAAUGGCCUGGGGUACUCACGUUUGAAAUGGAGGUAUCAAAAUUCAUGGUAUUUCAGUAAAUGGG
Dendroctonus ponderosae (mountain pine beetle) is the source of this 665-nucleotide long non-coding RNA. RefSeq lists it as uncharacterized. The record is from RefSeq and is a predicted model, not a curated record. The transcript has 3 exons. Lineage: Eukaryota; Metazoa; Arthropoda; Insecta; Coleoptera; Curculionidae.